CUAGCUCUUCGUCUCCAAACGUUUAUGCUCGCUUCAUACUUUCUUCUUCUCGAAGUUACUUCGGUGGAGCUUAUAACUACCCAUUACCUCAGGCAAGCAUACUCUACAAUGAUUUUAUUUUGCAAUCCUUUUUAAUGUGUUUGUAUCCCACAAUUUUUUUGGGUUUUUUCACCCCUUCCGCUUCAGAGAUUUGAAUUGUUAAGGGCCUCUAGGAUUAGUUGAGCUUUCCAGUUGAAGUACUGAACAUCACACGCCGCCUCAAGCCGUUAAUUGUACUUUCGCCGCCAAACUUUACCUUAUUGAUUAGGUGCUCCGCUGAAGUUUGCAGCUAUCUAUUACCUUACGUAAGCAUAUUCCACAAUGUUUUUCCAUUAUUUUGGUUCCUUAGCUAUACUUCAGCGAUUUCGUUUUCUCAUCCUUUUUUGAUUUGUUUAUAUUCACGGGUUUUGUGGGUUUUUUCACUCUUCCUGUUUCAGUCGCUAUUUGUUGUUGUUUGUAUCACUGCCCUUUGCCUCAUCUUAGCGAGCGUGGUAUGCAAGAUUUUAACUGCUAUAUUUGCCAUGAUCAACUGAUUUUCUCAGAGUAGUUCUCCCUCUGAAAAAUUCUGUUUAAGACUGAAUUCAUAAUGUUCAGUUCUUUCUCAUCCCUUCGACCAUGAUUUGAGCCAUAAUUGUAAAGUGAUUUUUGCUUGUCUGUAUAGGUAGUACCAGAGUUCUAUUCACAUUCACAAAAAUGGAUAAGUAAAGAAGGAACUUCAACUCGCUGAAAACUGUAUUUAUGCUUACCAGUUCCCCUAAGAUAAAGUGAUUUUAUGUAGCAUUCUCACUCACAUUUCAAAAGAAGAAAAAAGUGUUCCUUUGCCUCCUCUAUUCUAACCCUCCUGCCAUUAUACAUGGUGAAAAGUUUGAGUGCUGUCACACUUUCACCUAAACCACCAAUAUAGAUUCUUAUGGUUUCGGUGAUGCAUUGCCUCCUUCGUCCGUCGCCAUCUCUUCCGGUGCUGUUAUGUUCAACUCAAUGAAGCUCUUUGGUUGAAGUUAUGCUGCCAGCGAAUUGAUGUCCACUAAUCGGGGUAGCAAUUGGGUGUGAAAUAGAAAUGUUAUGAGAUUUCUUCAAGAAUCUGAAAUUUUAUAUACUUCAAUAUAUUGUCGAUUCAAAUUCAUUGUCUGCCUUUUAGUAUUUUAAAUGCAGAUAAUUUCCUACAAAAAGCUUGCGGAGAAAUGUCUCCAACAAACCAAAUAAACUAUCUACAUACAGAAGAACAAAUUUAUCAAAUGAAACUCAAAAGGCGUGAUGCUUAUAUAAAGAUAAAAGCUGAUAAAAAAAACAGGCGAUAUUAGCAGAGAGGCGCACCAGAGAAUUACGAAAAAGGUAAAUCACGUGUUCUCCGUCCAACUGAAGAAACAAAGCGUUAUUGCGCCCCUAUAUUAUCAAGGCAAACUGGUCUUACUAUAAAAGAGCCCUCUUCUAUUAAUAUCAAGGUUGGAAUGAAAAAUUUCUGCUUGUUCACUUUUACUAAUAUCAAAUUACAAAGAUCCAAUUAUGUGCUAACCUAAUCGAUAAUGUUUUUUAUAUACCGUCCAGAAAAAGGAUGCUAUGAAAUUAGUUCUUCUAACAAAAGAGAACAAGUCCUCCCAUCUUUCUAUGUAUUUGAAAAAGGUAAAUAUAUAAUUUCUAUCUUUUAGCUUUUUAGUUGCAUCAUGUGUUAGAUAUGCAUCUAAAUUUUUCCGAUUUAUAUGUUAUGCUCAAUAUCCGGCACAUGUAGGGAACAACAAAAUGUCACUCCUGAGGUCAUUUCUAUCUCAAACUCAACAUCCAACGCAUGUACAGAACAACAAAAUGUCUCUUCUAAAAAGUCGCUACAGAGAAAGGUUGGUAUUCAUUUUAUAUGGAAGUAAUUUCUCCUAUUACUUUAUUAGAAUGUCAGAUUAUACUCAGUUUUGACAGUACUUGUGACAUACAGGUAAUAGGCUAAAAGCAGACUCCCAUAAAAAAUUAAUGAUAAUCG
RNAcentral lists this long non-coding RNA (2008 nucleotides) under Solanum lycopersicum (tomato). RNAcentral describes it as "long non-coding RNA (SLYC_LNC000107)". The record is from RNAcentral. Lineage: Eukaryota; Viridiplantae; Streptophyta; Magnoliopsida; Solanales; Solanaceae.